UGGGGAAUUUUGGACAAUGGGCGCAAGCCUGAUCCAGCCAUGCCGCGUGCGGGAAGAAGGCCUUCGGGUUGUAAACCGCUUUUGUCAGGGAAGAAAUCUUCUGAGUUAAUACCUCGGGAGGAUGACGGUACCUGAAGAAUAAGCACCGGCUAACUACGUGCCAGCAGCCGCGGUAAUACGUAGGGUGCAAGCGUUAAUCGGAAUUACUGGGCGUAAAGCGUGCGCAGGCGGUUUUGUAAGACAGAGGUGAAAUCCCCGGGCUCAACCUGGGAACUGCCUUUGUGACUGCAAGGCUUGAGUGCGGCAGAGGGGGAUGGAAUUCCGCGUGUAGCAGUGAAAUGCGUAGAUAUGCGGAGGAACACCGAUGGCGAAGGCAAUCCCCUGGGCCUGCACUGACGCUCAUGCACGAAAGCGUGGGGAGCAAAACAGGAUUAGAUACCCUGGUAGUCCACGCCCUAAACGAUGUCAACUGGUUGUUGGGAAGGUUCCUUCUCAGUAACGUAGCUAACGCGUGAAGUUGACCGCCUGGGGAGUACGGCCGCAAGGUUGAAACUUAAAUGAAUUGACGGGGUCAUAGCUGUUUCC
RNAcentral lists this ribosomal RNA (585 nucleotides) under uncultured bacterium. RNAcentral's name for it is "partial 16S ribosomal RNA". It matches the Rfam family "Bacterial small subunit ribosomal RNA", at positions 355 to 937 of the family's 1533-position model. The record is from RNAcentral.